CCCUACGGGAGGCAGCAGUAGGGAAUCUUCCACAAUGGGCGAAAGCCUGAUGGAGCAACGCCGCGUGGGUGAAGAAGGUCUUCGGAUCGUAAAACCCUGUUGUUAGAGAAGAAAGUGCGUGAGAGUAACUGUUCACGUUUCGACGGUAUCUACCCAGAAAGCCACGGCUAACUACGUGCCAGCAGCCGCGGUAAUACGUAGGUGGCAAGCGUUAUCCGGAUUUAUUGGGCGUAAAGGGAACGCAGGCGGCCUUUUAAGUCUGAUGUGAACGCCUUCGGCUUAACCGGAGUAGUGCAUUGGAAACU
Molecule: ribosomal RNA, 305 nt
Filed under: uncultured bacterium
Lineage: Bacteria
Description: bacterial SSU rRNA
Rfam family: Bacterial small subunit ribosomal RNA
Source: RNAcentral